Non-coding RNA from Acanthosepion pharaonis, 107 nucleotides. NCBI's taxonomy places the organism in Eukaryota, Metazoa, Mollusca, Cephalopoda, Sepiida, Sepiidae. The record is from the annotation of a GenBank genome assembly.
UUACGGCCAUAUCCCGUUGAAACACCGGUUCUCGUCUGAUCACCGAAGCUAAGUCGAGUCUGGUCAGUACCUCGAUGAUUGAACGCUUGGGAAUACCAGGCUCUGUA